GAUCCUGGCUCAGGAUGAACGCUAGCGACAGGCUUAACACAUGCAAGUCGAGGGGCAGCGGGGGGGUAGCAAUACUUCGCCGGCGACCGGCGCACGGGUGAGUAACACGUGUGCAACCAACCCCGUACCGGGAGAUAACCCGCGGAAACGUGGACUAACAUCCCAUAAUACUGGAGGAUCGCAUGAUCUUUCAUUUAAAAUUCCGGUGGUACGGGACGGGCACGCGCGACAUUAGGUAGUUGGCGGGGUAACGGCCCACCAAGCCGACG
This 269-nucleotide ribosomal RNA is filed under the name uncultured bacterium. Its description in RNAcentral is "partial 16S ribosomal RNA". It matches the Rfam family "Bacterial small subunit ribosomal RNA", at positions 15 to 278 of the family's 1533-position model. The record is from RNAcentral.